RNAcentral lists this ribosomal RNA (325 nucleotides) under uncultured bacterium. Its description in RNAcentral is "bacterial SSU rRNA". It matches the Rfam family "Bacterial small subunit ribosomal RNA", at positions 28 to 334 of the family's 1533-position model. The record is from RNAcentral.
GAUGAACGCUGGCGGCGUGCUUAACACAUGCAAGUCGAACGGGAAACAUUUUAUUGAAGCUUCGGCAGAUUUAGUUUGUUUCCAGUGGCGGACGGGUGAGUAACGCGUGGGUAACCUGCCUCACACUGGGGGAUAACAGUCAGAAAUGGCUGCUAAUACCGCAUAAGCGCACGGGACCGCAUGGUUUUGUGUGAAAAGGAGUGAUCCGCUUUGAGAUGGCCUCGCGUCCGAUUAGCUAGUUGGUGAGGUAACGGCCCACCAAGGCGACGAUCGGUAGCCGGACUGAGAGGUUGAUCGGCCACAUUGGGACUGAGACACGGCCCAG